UACGUAGGGUGCAAGCGUUGUCCGGAAUUAUUGGGCGUAAAGAGCUCGUAGGCGGUCUGUCACGUCGGCUGUGAAAACCCGAGGCUCAACCUCGGGCCUGCAGUUGAUACGGGCAAACUAGAGUGUUGCAGGGGAGACUGGAAUUCCUGGUGUAGCGGUGAAAUGCGCAGAUAUCAGGAGGAACACCGGUGGCGAAGGCGGGUCUCUGGGCAACAACUGACGCUGAGGAGCGAAAGCGUGGGGAGCGAACAGG
This 253-nucleotide ribosomal RNA is filed under the name uncultured bacterium. Its description in RNAcentral is "partial 16S ribosomal RNA". It matches the Rfam family "Bacterial small subunit ribosomal RNA", at positions 524 to 776 of the family's 1533-position model. The record is from RNAcentral.